RNAcentral lists this small RNA (88 nucleotides) under Xanthomonas campestris. RNAcentral describes it as "sRNA sX9". It matches the Rfam family "Xanthomonas sRNA sX9". RNAcentral also lists the same sequence under 1 other name. Lineage: Bacteria; Pseudomonadati; Pseudomonadota; Gammaproteobacteria; Lysobacterales; Lysobacteraceae. The record is from RNAcentral.
AUGCGCCGCUCGUCCACUGCGGGUAGGGGUCCGCCUUCCACGCCUAGCUGACGACUGCUCGCUAGAUGUAUUGGCGGCUCUGUUGGCC